ACGAACGCUGGCGGCGUGCUUAACACCUGCCAGUCGCACGGAAAGGCCCUGCUUUUGUGGGGUGCUCGAGUGGCGAACGGGUGAGUAACACGUGAGUAACCUGCCCUUGACUUUGGGAUAACUUCAGGAAACUGGGGCUAAUACCGGAUAGGAGCUCCUGCUGCAUGGUGGGGGUUGGAAAGUUUCGGCGGUUGGGGAUGGACUCGCGGCUUAUCAGCUUGUUGGUGGGGUAGUGGCUUACCAAGGCUUUGACGGGUAGCCGGCCUGAGAGGGUGACCGGCCACAUUGGGACUGAGAUACGGCCCAGACUCCUACGGGAGGCAGCAGUGGGGAAUAUUGCACAAUGGGCGGAAGCCUGAUGCAGCAACGCCGCGUGCGGGAUGACGGCCUUCGGGUUGUAAACCGCUUUCGCCUGUGACGAAGCGUGAGUGACGGUAAUGGGUAAAGAAGCACCGGCUAACUACGU
RNAcentral lists this ribosomal RNA (466 nucleotides) under uncultured bacterium. RNAcentral's name for it is "partial 16S ribosomal RNA". It matches the Rfam family "Bacterial small subunit ribosomal RNA", at positions 29 to 506 of the family's 1533-position model. The record is from RNAcentral.